GACGAACGCUGGCGGCGUGCUUAACACAUGCAAGCCGAACGGAAAGGCCUGCUUUCCCUUGUGGAUUGCGGGUACUCGAGUGGCGAACGGGUGAGUAACACGCGAGUGAUCUGCCCCCAACUUGGGUAUAAGCCUGGGAAACUGGGUCUAAUUCCCGAUAGGACUGCAGGGUGCUGUCUGUGGUGGCAAACGUUUUUCUAGUGGUUGGGGAUGGGCGCGCGGCCUAUCAGCUUGUUGGUGGGGUAAUGUCCUACAACGGCGGCGGCGGGUAGCCGGGCGGGAAGGGUGACCGGCGACAUUGGGACUGGGACACGGCCCAGACUCAGGCGGGAGGCGGCAGUGGGGAAUAAUGCGCAAUAGGCGGAAGGCGGAAGCAGCGGCGCGGCAUGAGGGAUGACGGACUGCGGGUUGUAGACACCAGGCGACCGCGAGGGAGCCACCUGGUUGGAAGGGUGGGAAGGUAAGUGGUAAAAGAAGCACCGGCAAACUACGU
This 493-nucleotide ribosomal RNA is filed under the name uncultured bacterium. Its description in RNAcentral is "partial 16S ribosomal RNA". It matches the Rfam family "Bacterial small subunit ribosomal RNA", at positions 28 to 506 of the family's 1533-position model. The record is from RNAcentral.